Molecule: ribosomal RNA, 253 nt
Filed under: uncultured bacterium
Lineage: Bacteria
Description: partial 16S ribosomal RNA
Rfam family: Bacterial small subunit ribosomal RNA
Source: RNAcentral
UACGUAGGGGGCAAGCGUUGUCCGGAUUUAUUGGGCGUAAAGAGCGUGUAGGCGGUCAGGUAGGUCCGUUGUGAAAACUCGAGGCUCAACCUCGAGACGCCGAUGGAAACCAUCUGACUAGAGUCCGGAAGAGGAGAGUGGAAUUCCUGGUGUAGCGGUGAAAUGCGCAGAUAUCGGGAGGAACACCGGUGGCGAAGGCGGUUCUCUGGGCCUUACCUGACGCUGAGGAGCGAAAGCGUGGGGAGCGAACAGG